RNAcentral lists this ribosomal RNA (463 nucleotides) under uncultured Klebsiella sp. Its description in RNAcentral is "bacterial SSU rRNA". It matches the Rfam family "Bacterial small subunit ribosomal RNA", at positions 338 to 795 of the family's 1533-position model. Lineage: Bacteria; Pseudomonadati; Pseudomonadota; Gammaproteobacteria; Enterobacterales; Enterobacteriaceae. The record is from RNAcentral.
CCUACGGGAGGCAGCAGUGGGGAAUAUUGCACAAUGGGCGCAAGCCUGAUGCAGCCAUGCCGCGUGUGUGAAGAAGGCCUUCGGGUUGUAAAGCACUUUCAGCGGGGAGGAAGGCGUUAAGGUUAAUAACCUUGGCGAUUGACGUUACCCGCAGAAGAAGCACCGGCUAACUCCGUGCCAGCAGCCGCGGUAAUACGGAGGGUGCAAGCGUUAAUCGGAAUUACUGGGCGUAAAGCGCACGCAGGCGGUCUGUCAAGUCGGAUGUGAAAUCCCCGGGCUCAACCUGGGAACUGCAUUCGAAACUGGCAGGCUAGAGUCUUGUAGAGGGGGGUAGAAUUCCAGGUGUAGCGGUGAAAUGCGUAGAGAUCUGGAGGAAUACCGGUGGCGAAGGCGGCCCCCUGGACAAAGACUGACGCUCAGGUGCGAAAGCGUGAGGAGCAAACAGGAUUAUACCCCGGUAGUC